AGAACUUUCCCAAGAAUCAUUAAAAAGGAGGCUUUUUUCUCCUGGUCCUAAGCUGCAAAGCAGCCUGAGAGCAGAGUGGCUAGUCUGUGGAGAGCUUGCCUGAGAAGAAAGCUGGGGAGAGGCUCUCAGAGGAACAACUUCAAAUAAAAAGAUAUCCGAUUAGACUGCAGCAAGGAGAUCAAGUCAGUCCAUCUUAAAGGAAAUCAAACCUGAAUAUUUAUUGGAAGGACUGAUGCUGAAGCUGAAGCUCCAGUACUUUGGCCACCUGAUGCGAAGAGCCAACUCAUUGGAAAAGACUCUGAUGCAGAGAAAGAUUGAAGGUGAAAAGAGAAGAGGGCGGUAGCAGAUGAGACGGUUGGAUCGCACCACCAACUCAAUGGACAUGAAUUUGAGCAAACUCUGGGAGACCUAACCCUAACCCUAACUGAACAAUAACUGGGGUGGGGGGGAAUAAGAGUGGGGCAUGGGGAUCAAAGGGAAUGAAUGAAUGGAUGGAUGAAUGAAUGAAUGCAUAACACGGGACACUUGCAGACAAUAACGGGAAUGUGCCAUGAGCCACGGAGGAUGAGCACCUCCAGACUCAGCACCCCGAUUCAAAAAAUAAACACAACCCAAAGCAAAACCCACUCUGCCAGGCUCUGUUUUCUGGGAAGGGAGCAGAAAGUCUCAUUAGAUGAUAUUAAGAGAAAAAUUGUGACAAUUCUAUAAAACGGCCCCAUUAAAGAAAAAAAAUGUCAUGUAACUUUACAUAGAAAAGUCUGGAAGCAUCUGUGUCCGUGUGCUCACAGAGAGAGGCUAGGAGCAAGGACAAGUCUGUGCCAGUCAGCCUUGUCUAUGGCACACCCAGUCGGGCUGACCCACAGGAGGACUCCAGCACACUCACAUAUAUGUAUCUCCAUAACGUGAGAUACACACUUUUCUAUACACCUUGCAAUCAUCUGCAUGUUUUAGAAGAGCACAAAUGUUUUAUAAUCAAAGAGGAACACUAAAACACUUUCUAUCAGGAAGCGAAGAGUUUAGUAAGGAUGAACAGAGGGAUUCUGAGGCCAGGGAUUCCCAUCUCCCCUGGCAACAACUGAGCAGCUGUUUUCAGGGAUCCAUGAGUAUGUCUUUAGUGUCCAUUCAGAGUACAGCUCAAGGCAGAAGGCUCCAUGAGGAAAAGGGGAGUGGGAGGGGUCAUGAUUUGCAGUAGAGCCUGUGGCACCUGACUCCGGACUAGGGUGUGCUGCUGGGCAAGUUUUUGACCGUGCUGAGCCUCUGUUUCCACACCUGUAAAAUGGGCACAAUACCAGCCAUGGCAUCAGGAUUGAAUGAAAGAAUGCAUGAAUUGGUUUAGCACGAAGCCUAGCACAGAGCAGGUGCUCAGC
Long non-coding RNA from Bos taurus (domestic cattle), 1367 nucleotides. NCBI's taxonomy places the organism in Eukaryota, Metazoa, Chordata, Mammalia, Artiodactyla, Bovidae. The record is from Ensembl.